CCCUUAGAUGUCCUGGGCCGCACGCGCGCUACACUGAGCGGAUCAGCGCGUUUUCCCUUCCCGAGAGGGACGGGUAACCUGCUGAACCCCGUUCGUGGUAGGGAUCGGGGCUUGCAAUUAUUCCCCGUGAACCAGGAAUGCCCAGUAAGUGCAAGUCAUAAGCUUGCGUUGAUUACGUCCCUGCCCUUUGUACACACCGCCCGUCGCUACUACCGAUUGAACGUUUUAGUGAGGUACUCGGACUGAGCCUCAGAAGAUUCACGUCUUUUGUGCUGCUCGGGAAGAUUCCCAAACUUGAGCGUUUAGAGGAAGUAAAAGUCGUAACA
RNAcentral lists this ribosomal RNA (326 nucleotides) under uncultured eukaryote. RNAcentral describes it as "partial 18S ribosomal RNA". It matches the Rfam family "Eukaryotic small subunit ribosomal RNA", at positions 1470 to 1796 of the family's 1831-position model. The record is from RNAcentral.